Molecule: ribosomal RNA, 253 nt
Filed under: uncultured bacterium
Lineage: Bacteria
Description: partial 16S ribosomal RNA
Rfam family: Bacterial small subunit ribosomal RNA
Source: RNAcentral
UACGGAGGGUGCGAGCGUUGUCCGGAAUUACUGGGCGUAAAGGGCGCGUAGGCGGCCCGCUAAGUCGAACGUGAAAUCCCCGGGCUCAACCCGGGAACUGCGUCCGAUACUGGUGGGCUUGAAUUCGGGAGAGGGAUGCGGAAUUCCAGGUGUAGCGGUGAAAUGCGUAGAUAUCUGGAGGAACACCGGUGGCGAAGGCGGCAUCCUGGACCGAUAUUGACGCUGAGGCGCGAAAGCCAGGGGAGCAAACGGG